This 54-nucleotide transfer RNA is filed under the name Dipodomys ordii (Ord's kangaroo rat). It matches the Rfam family "tRNA", at positions 1 to 53 of the family's 71-position model. From Rfam's summary of the family: Transfer RNA (tRNA) molecules are approximately 80 nucleotides in length. Lineage: Eukaryota; Metazoa; Chordata; Mammalia; Rodentia; Heteromyidae. The record is from Rfam by way of RNAcentral.
GGGAAGGUGGCUCAGUGGUAGAGCGCAUGUCUUGCAUGCCUGAGGCCCUGGGUU